CCUACGGUGUGCAGCAGUGGGGAAUAUUGGGCAAUGGACGCAAGUCUGACCCAGCAACGCCGCGUGAAGGAAGCAGGCUUUCGGGUUGUAAACUUCUUUUAAGGGGGAAGAGCAGAAGACGGUACCCCUUGAAUAAGCCACGGCUAACUACGUGCCAGCAGCAGCGGUAAUAAGUAGGUGGCAAGCGUUGUUCGGAUUUACUGGGUGUAAAGGGCGGGCAGCCGGAGAGACAAGUCAGAUGUGAACUCCACGGGCUCAACCCGUGAACUGCAUUUGAAACUGUUUCCCUUGAGUGUCGGAGAGGUAAUCGGAAUUUCUAGUGUAGCGGUGAAAUGCGUAGAUAUUAGGAAGAACACCAGUGGCGAAGGCGGAUUACUGGACGAUAACUGACGGUGAGGCGCGAAAGCGUGGGGAGCAAACAGGAUGAGAUACCCGAGUAGUC
This 442-nucleotide ribosomal RNA is filed under the name uncultured bacterium. RNAcentral describes it as "partial 16S ribosomal RNA". It matches the Rfam family "Bacterial small subunit ribosomal RNA", at positions 338 to 795 of the family's 1533-position model. The record is from RNAcentral.